This 17038-nucleotide long non-coding RNA is filed under the name Sorghum bicolor (sorghum). Its description in RNAcentral is "long non-coding RNA (SBIC_LNC013219)". The record is from RNAcentral. Lineage: Eukaryota; Viridiplantae; Streptophyta; Magnoliopsida; Poales; Poaceae.
UGAGAGCGGGCAUGGAUGCGCACGCUUGGCCAGCCCGUGUCGCGCGUUAGAUUUUGUGUUCCUAAAGCAGCCUUUGGUUUGUAUGAAUUGCUCAUAGAAAUUCCAAAGGAAACUAUUAUUGACCUUCAAUUCCAUAGAAAAACUAUAUGAAAAAGUAAUCCACUUAGACCUCAUGGAAAAGUUCCUAUGCACAAGGAACAAGGCAAACAAUGCAACUCGUGUCUAAUCAUGUGUAACAUCCCAAAAAUUCACAUUCAAAAAUCACUCGCAUUAAAAAUUAUUUUCAAAAUAUAUUUCAAAAACUAUAAAAUAAUUUGAGCUCUAUAGUAUCUCCAUCUAAUCCAUCCAUAUUUUUUCGCGCACAAAUAACAGCGAGUACCAGUAAGCUUACAUGCAAGAAAACAUAGCAGUGCACACACACGAAUAUAUCUCAUGCAUGCAUACAUGAAUGCAGGACAUCACGCACCGUCCAUUUGCAUGCACCUGCAUGCAAGGACACGGUGAUUAGGCACCGUCCAUUUGCAUGCAUCGUGCAUGCAAAUUAGGCACCGACCAUGCGCUACAGUAGCAUUUUUAAUGGCACGCAGCUGAGCGCUUUGGCCUAUAAAAAACCAGCCUCGGGUGCUCACUCUCACCACCCGAGAAACACGUUCACUCACUCGCUCUCACUUUGCGUAUACCGUAUACGGCCAUACGCACAAGCCGAGCUCGACUGUCGUCACAAGAUGAGGUGAGCAGCUCAUGAACAUCUCCUUGCUCUUCUCUGUCUUUCUGUAGUAUUUUUCUGUAUUUUUUCUUGUAUUUGUCUGUACCGAUUCACUGCCAAGAACUCCACGAAUAAAACCAUGACAUACAGAAGAGCUCUAAUGACCCCUCCUAAUUUCUCUCUAACCAUGCAUGUGUGGGCCAUAAGCAUUAACUUCACCAAAUAGUACAUGCAUGCAUGCACUACCAGCCAAACAAAUGCCCACGUGAAGCAUCCAUUCCUUAAUCAUCGUUAGCCUUUUUCGUAUGAUUAAAUUCCGGCUAUUUCACAAAUACCACAUGCUAACUCUGAUUUUAAUAAUUCUUUUUCCUAAAUUUAUCUAAAAUCAUGAUCUACCUUCCAUAUUAAUUUCAUGAUUUUUGGAGGUCAUUUGAAUUUAUAUGAUUAUUUAUCUGUGCCUGUUGUCUGUGUCGGUCGUCGCGUAUUUUAGCUGACGAAGUGAACGAGCCCAAAAACGAGAACGUUAGAGACGAGUACCGCGAGUUUGACGCCGAGGACCCAGACUGUCAGCAAGAGUUUGCUGAGGACGCCGACGGAGGCAAGUCCAACCGAUCCCCUUUGAUGCAUAUUGAUCCUAUUUUAAAAUACAACCCGUAGAAGCCGUUUUAAAUAUUGCAUGUACGAUAUAUAUACGAAGUAUUUUUGCUGCUUAGUUAAAAUCUGUUGAAUAGCCAUCCUUGAAUUGAUAUUACCCGGUAAUUGUCUUGUUCGAACCUAGGAACAAAUAAUAUGCUAUGACAGAAAUAUUAUUAUUUAGUAUGCUUAGGACUUGUUACUCAUCCUGGAUACUCAUCGCUAUAUUUUCUCAAAUAUAAUGAUUUUAAAAGUAAAAGGUGUGAGUGGUGAAAAUAUAUUGUGGGUAUUAUGAAAGGGUUAAUGAACAAGUUAUAGAUGUGAUUACUAUGGAGAUGGGGCGGAUGGGAUCUCUUUGGGGAUGCCCUGGUGUUGUGGCUUAUACCUUGCAGGGUUAAGCGUGAAGAUAUCCGCCUUGUCUCGAUUAAGGACUGAGUUGAUGAUUCAUCUUGCCUAACUCAUUUAUCGUACAACCACUCGCCUUGCAUGGGAAAGGCUUAGUCUAAAUCCCUCUAGUUAGUAUGGCAAUCACCUGGAGGCAGGUGUGCAACGGGACACUAAGUGAUGUAUGUGAAAUUGUGAAAAUAUAUGAAAAGAGCUUUGUGAAUUAUUGUGGUAUCAUGAGAUGUGGCCUUAGUGUUCCCGUGGUGAGCGCCAUUACUUAGCUAUGGAGGGUAAUGACUUUGAUGGAUCUGUGAUUGCACGACGGUGUAAGUUAUGGUAUCCUACUUGUAGGAAAAGUGUACAACCUCUGCAGAGUGUAAAUCUAUCUAGAUAGCCGUGUCCGCGGUCUCGGACGGGUUAUGGUUUGGUUUCAACAACUAGAUUGGUUGGUAUGAGUGAAAGCAUGUGAGAGAGUGUGAUUUUGGAAAUAAAUGGUUGACUGCCAUUGUGUUGUGGGAACAAGGGUUCAACAACACUUAAAAUUGUGAUCAAACCCCCAUUUUCAGAAAUACUAUCAUAUGUGGAAGAAGAGUUCUUUUACAACAGUAUUUGUGAAUUAAAACCUUGCAUGUGUAAAAAGAUAGCUUUAUGCAAAUAAAACUAAGCCUCAUCCUUGAUUUAUCCAUAUGCAUAUAUAUUGUUACCCCUUCCGUAGGGUAAGGUUGGAUUUGCUGAGUACUUUGUACUCACCCUUGCUUUAUUAAACAGAGGAAGAUCCGGACUUCGAUCCCGAAGUGGCGUUCGAGUAAGGUCGUGUCUGCACCCAACUAAGCCUGUGGCAUUGGGACUCGUCAGAUGUUCGAUUGUGAUAUCGUUUGUUUCUGGGUCCUUUGGACCUAUGUUGUAUUUUGGUGUCUUAUAUGUUGUAUUUUGGUGUCUUAUUAUUAUAGCGUGCCUUCCUUGUCCACGCUUACCGAGACUUCUGCGCUGAAACUUAUCUGAUGUAAUAAAUGUGUUACUAGCCUCCUGGGACUAGUAUUGUAUCACAUUUGAGUUCCUGGUUUACCAGGGGCGCUUCAGGUGGUAUCAAAGCCGUAGUUGGCUGUAGGACGCGACCUUAGGCUUUUCUGGACUAGUAUUUUACUAAAUAAACGUAUUUUACAAAAGUUCUUACCCUCUCCCCUCUAUUGAAAAAAAAAUAUUUACUCUCAUCUAUGUCUCCCAGAUGGCAGAUGGAGUUUGGACCAGCAGUUACUGUCUAAGUGUAGAAGGCUUUCCCAAGCUCUUGUAUGCUACCAUGCAGAAACUUGGAAUCAAGGAUCGCCCAGAAUAUGAAGGCAGAGAAUAUGAAGAGCAUGAGACCAAGCGGUGUGAAGUUACCGUCUAUAUUGGGAAAAGUGAGGACUUCCCUAACAUAGCUGAAGCUUGGAGUAUGACUGCGACCGGAUUUCGGUUUGCAGAUACAUAUCAAGCCGUCGCUCGCAAAGCCUUGAGGUACCUAUGCCAGAUCUACGAGAAGCCCAUCACCCGUACACCCAUGAGGUUCUUUCCACCCGACGAAAAAGACCGACCAGUUUGGAGGACCCGCAUGGAGCUCUUGCAAGGACGUUACUCACUUGAAGAUGACCCAACUGUGGUAUUCAUGACCACAUACCUUCUUGCUCUAGAUAAGCAAUAUGAUGAGCAGGCCUCAGAGUUAAGGAAGUGCAUCCAUCGUGCAGAGGAAGCCGAGAUCAUAGUUAGAAAGCUCCAUGUGCAGCUUGCGGAAGCUCAGACCCAAGCAGCUGCAGCCGAGAGUCGUGAAACUACCAUUGCUGAAGUCUUGAAGGCAGCUGAAGACCGCCAUGCUCAGGAGUUGAAGGAUGCCUACCUUAUCACCAGGAUCAAAAGAAGGAUGUUAGCAGAGGAAGACCAAGAGCCCAUAGUCCUAAAAGGUAUCCCAAUCAUGUCCCUAAAAACCAAAAGAAAGAUGGGCAUAGAAGGGCCAUGAGCUCCCCCACCCACAGAAGCCUCUCAUGAAGCUUUAGAGUUGGAGUCCACUAAGGAAGAAGGAUUUCCCCUCCUCACCCAGGCAGCACCAAAAGAAGACAGUGACCCACCUCUUAGUCUAAAAGAAGAACCACAAAUGCCAGAAGCGUGAUCCUCCUCAACACCAAGGGAAUGAAGCUGUUCUGUCCGAAGAAGUUGAAGAAUAGUAGCACCUAGUUCCUCCUUAUGGCUUGGGGAAGUGAAGUUUACUUCACUUUUGUUCAACCCCCAAAGUAGAUGAACCGUAUUGUAGUACGCUUAUUUCCUCCAUUACUAUGUUGUAAACCGUCCUCUUAUUCAAAAUAUAUAUUUGUGCUUGUUGGUUGUGCUAAAUAAUUGAGUGCUCUAUGUUGUUCCCCUACGGGAUAGCAAGUGUUAAAACUUGCACCUUUUUAAAAUAUAACGCCGUAACAAAAAAAACAACAUCACUCAAUAGAUCUAGCCCUUAUCUAAUGCUUUCUCAUCUUAACCAACAGAUGUCUCCCAAACCAGCUACCCGCUCUCAACCAAGUGGUCGUGCAGCUAGUAGGCAAAGCCGAAAUCCAAAUGGAAGUCAAGCCAAUGCAAAUGUUGAUGGUAUUCAUGAAGAUGAAGUGAGUCAGACUAGGAACCAUAAUGAAGGAGAUGACUUGCCAGUAAUUGACUUAGCACAAGUCAUGGCAACUCAGACUCGUCUUCUGGAGACCUUGGCUCAAGGCAUGAACCGCCCUAGGAACAACCAUGGAGUCGGAGUCCAAGACAAGAUAACUGAGUUCAUGAGGCUUAAGCCACCCACCUUUACUGGAUCUGACAACCCCAUGGAAGCAGAUGAUUGGCUUAAGGUGAUUGAAAGAAAGUUGGACACAAUCCACUGCGAUGGAAGGGAUAGAGUUCUGCUAGCAUCUCAUCAGCUGACAGGAAUUGCCCUUUCUUGGUGGGAAGCCUAUAGUGGAGCUGUGGACAAUGCCAACACGAUCACAUGGGAAGAAUUUGUGGACGAAUUCCGCCGGUACCACAUUCCCGAUGGGAUCAUGAAGCUGAGGCUAAUGAAUUUCGUAACCUGAAGCAAGGAAAUAAAACUCUGAGUGAAUACAUCUUUCAAUUCACUGAGUUGUCUCGCUAUGCCCCAGAAUUGGUCAACACUGAUGCCAAGAAACAGACAAAGUUCAUAGAAGGAUUGACCUGUGAGCUCAGAACCCUCAUGACCCCACAGAUCUAUCCAGACUUCAACACUUUGAUGAACAGGACCAUUCUGACUGAUGUGGCCAAGACUGAAGAAAGGAAAGAAAACAAGCGCAAGUUUCUGGAGCGCAAGGUUCAGGAUGGUGCUAGAUCCCAGAGGCUGAAAACCUUUAGCCAACCAAGCCAGCGGACUCAAGCCCCAAUGUAGUUUCGCUCUCCUCCUAGUGUCUCCAAUAACCAAAUGCAGUCAUCAUAUCAGCCUAAGACAACCUAUCAGAAUCAAGCUUAUGGCAAGACUCAACAGAACAGUACUGGUCAAGUCACAAACAAUGUUAGGACUUGCUUUAAUUGCCAUGAGACUGGACACUACAUCACCAACUGUCCCUACAAGAACAACCCACCAGCAGUGUCCACUCAGUCCCACACCGUUAUUGGACCAAGACCUGCAGUGUCUGGAGUCAACCGUGGUUUCCCUCGCAACAAUAGCAACACCAACAAUAAUAGCCAGAUGAUGAAGCAACCUCAACAAUCCUAUGGUAGAGCCCGUGUCAACCAUAUUCAUGCUCAAGAUGCUCAGACUGCUUCAGGAGUGGUACUUGGUGAGUUUUUAGUCGAUUCAGUACUUGCAACAGUAUUAUUUGAUUCUGGAGCAUCACAUUCAUUCAUAUCAUCAAGUUUUGUUGAGAAGCAUCAAAUACCCACAGUACUACUAAAGUUACCCCUAAUAACCCGAACACCUGGGUCUGACAUCAAAUGUCAUCUAGGUUGUUCAAAUGUAAGGAUCAUUCUAAGUGGGGUAGUUUUCUUAGGAGACUUAGUAGUGCUCAAGUCCAAAGGAAUAGAUGUUAUCCUUGGAAUGGAUUGGUUAACCAGACACAAUGGAAUUAUUAGUUGUGCAACCAAGGAAGUAUCAUUAGUUAACCAUGAAGGGAUUAAAGUGAAAUGCCAAACCCGAGGGUCUAAAGUUAAUCCAAUGGACUUCAACUUGGAUGCAAGGACCAUAGAGGAAGUACCAAUAGUGCAAGAAUACCCUGAUGUAUUCCCUGAGGAACUACCUGGAAUGCCACCAGAUAGGGAUAUAGAGUUCAUCAUUGAUCUUAUCCCUGGGACUGCCCCCAUAGCCAAGAGACCUUACAGAAUGGCUCCGGCAGAGUUAGCUGAACUGAAAGAGCAGCUAAGAGAAUUGUAGCAGAAAGGUUAUAUUAGACCUAGUUCUUCACCAUGGGGAGCCCCAGUCUUAUUUGUGAAGAAGAAAGAUGGAAGUAUGAGGAUGUGUGUAGAUUAUAGGUCCCUAAAUGAAGUCACCAUCAAGAAUAAGUAUCCCCUGCCAAGGAUAGAUGACCUUUUUGAUCAGCUUAAAGGAGCCAAGUAUUUCUCUAAGAUUGAUUUGAGAUCAGGUUAUCACCAGCUCAAGAUCAAGAAUAGUGAUGUUCCCAAGACAGCAUUUGUAACCAGAUAUGGACAAUAUGAGUUUACAGUGAUAUCCUUUGGAUUAACCAAUGCCCCUGCCUAUUUCAUGAACCUCAUGAAUAAGGUAUUCAUGGAAGAGUUAGAUAAGUUUGUUGUAGUCUUCAUUGAUGACAUACUUAUCUACUCUAAGAGUGCUAAAGAACAUGGGCAACACUUGAGAGUAGUGUUGGAAAAGCUAAGAGGAUACAAGUUGUAUGCUAAAUUCAGCAAGUGUGAAUUUUGGCUUAAGAAGGUUGCAUUUCUAGGCCACAUCUUGACAGCUGAAGGAGUUGCAGUUGACCCUGAGAAAGUAGAAGCUGUCUCCCAUUGGCAGCAACCCACCAAUGUGAGUGAGGUUAGAAGUUUUCUUAGAUUAGCUGGAUAUUAUCGAAGGUUUAUAGAAGGAUUUUCCAAGAUAGCCAGACCCAUGACAGAGCUUCUUAGGAAGGAUAAGAAAUUCACUUGGACAGAAUCAUGUGAGAAGAGUUUCCAAGAGUUGAAGAAGAGACUAACAACAGCACCAGUGUUAACUUUGCCAGACAUUCACCAAGAUUUCAUCAUAUACUGUGAUGCCUCAAGACAAGGUUUAGGAUGUGUUCUCAUGCAAGGAGGAAAAGUGGUUGCUUAUGCAUCCCGUCAGCUUAGACCUCAUGAGCAAAAUUACCCUACCCAUGAUUUGGAGUUAGCAGCGAUAGUACAUGCUCUCAAGAUUUGGAGACACUACCUCAUUGGAAACAAGUGUGAAAUCUACACUGAUCACAAGAGUUUGAAGUACAUCUUCACACAGUCAGACUUGAACCUAAGGCAAAGAAGAUGGUUGGAGUUAAUCAAGGACUACAACCUUGAGAUUCAUUACCACCCAGGAAAGGCCAACGUGGUAGCAGAUGCCCUGAGCAGAAGGUCAUAUGGUCAGUAGUUGGUGCCUAAGAACACUCACCUACAAGAAGAGAUAGCACAGUUGAACAUGCAUAUAGUACGCCAACCUCAAAAUGGCAGUCUGAUGGUACAGCCAACUCUUGUGGAAGAAAUCAAGCAGACACAACAUAAGGAUAAGGAUCUGAUGAAGAUUCAUGAGCAAACUGGAGAAAAUAAAGCUCCAUACUUUAGAGUGGAUAACAAAGGAGUAUUGUGGUAUAAAAACAGGAUUUGUGUGCCCAAAGAGGGAAAGUUUCAAGAAUUAAUCCUUGAUGAAGCCCAUAACUCAGCUUAUUCUAUCCACCCUGGUGCCACCAAGAUGUACAUGGACCUAAAAGAAAGAUAUUGGUGGAAUGGCAUGAAAGCUGAUGUGGCACGAUUUGUUGCACAAUGUGAUGUAUGCCAAAGGGUUAAAGCAGAGCAUCAGAAACCAGCAGGCUUGCUCCAGCCAUUGCCUAUUCCUGUUUGGAAAUGAGAUGAGAUAGGCAUGGAUUUUGUGAAUGGAUUACCCAAAACUCUGAAAGGAAAUGAUUCAAUAUGGGUAAUAGUGGACCGCCUUACAAAGGUUGCUCACUUCAUACCUGUACGCACCAAAUAUAGUGGAGACAAGUUAGCCCAGCUAUAUGUGGAUAACAUAGUCAAAUUGCAUGGUGUGCCAAGUAGGAUUGUAUCUGACUGAGGUACCCAAUUUACCUCUAAGUUCUGGAAAAGUUUGCAUGAAGCUAUGGGAACCAAGCUAGAUUUUAGUUCAGCUUAUCAUCCUCAAACAGAUGGUCAGACUGAAAGAAUAAAUCAGAUUAUGGAAGAUAUGCUAAGAGCAUGUGUGCUCACAUAUGGUAAAGAUUGGGAGAAAAGCCUAACUUAUGCAGAGUUCUCCUAUAAUAACAGUUACCAAGCUAGUUUGGGCAUGUCACCUUUUGAGGCCCUGUAUGGAAGAAAAUGUAGAACCCCAUUGAUGUGGUCAGAAGUUGGAGAACGAACCUUGCUUGGACCAGCACUUAUAAAAGAAGCAGAAGAUCGUGUAGCUGAAAUCAGAGAAAAAUUGAAAGAGGCACAAUCACGUCAAAAGAGCUAUUCUGAUAAAAGAAGGCGGGAGUUAAGUUUUGCAGUUGGAGAUUUUGUGUAUGUCAAAGUCUCUCCUAUUCGAGGAACUCGAAAGUUCCAAGUCAAAGGCAAGCUAGCACCUCGGUAUAUUGGACCAUAUCAAGUAUUACAGAGGAUUGGAGUUGUAGCCUAUCGUGUUCGGCUACCUGAAGAAAUGUCAGAUAUACACAAUGUGUUUCAUGUCUCCCAAUUGAAGAAAUGUCUCAGAGUACCAGAGGAACAAAUAUCGCCAGACACAGUUGAUUUACAAGACGACCUAAGAUAUCAAGAAGUGCCAAUAAAAAUUCUAGACACAGUCACCAAGCAAACUCGAUCGACAACAGUCCGAAUUUGUCGUGUUCAGUGGAGUAGACACACUGAAGCAAAAGCAACAUGGGAAAGAGAAGAUGCCCUGAGAAAAGAGUUUCCCCAUCUAUUUAGGACCCAGCCGAAUCUCGAGGACGAGAUUCCUUUUAAGUGGGGUAGGUUUGUAACAUCCCAAAAAUUCACAAUCAAAAAUCACUCGCAUUAAAAAUUAUUUUCAAAAUAUAUUUCAAAAACUAUAAAAUAAUUUGAGCUCUAUAGUAUCUCCAUCUAAUCCAUCCAUAUUUUUUCACGCACAAAUAACAGCGAGUACCAGUAAGCUUACAUGCAAGAAAACAUAGCAGUGCACAUACACGAAUAUAUCUCAUGCAUGCAUGCAUGAAUGCAGGACAUCACGCACCGUCCAAUUGCAUGCACCUGCAUGCAAAGACACGGUGAUUAGGCACCGUCCAUUUGCAUGCAUCGUGCAUGCAAAUUAGGCACCGACCAUGCGCUACAGUAGCAUUUUUAAUGGCACGCAGCUGAGCGCUUUGGCCUAUAAAAAGCCAGCCUCGGGUGCUCACUCUCACCACCCGAGAAACACGUUCACUCACUCGCUCUCACUUUGCGUAUACCGUAUACGGCCAUACGUACAAGCCGAGCUCGACUGUCGUCACAAGACGAGGUGAGCAGCUCAUGAACAUCUCCUUGCUCUUCUCUGUCUUUCUGUAGUAUUUUUCUGUAUUUUUUCCUUGUAUUUGUCUGUACCGAUUCACUGCCAAGAACUCCACGAAUAGAACCAUGACAUACAGAAGAGCUCUAAUGACCCGUGCUAAUUUCUCUCUAACCAUGCAUGUGUGGGCCAUAAGCAUUAACUUCACCAAAUAGUACAUGCAUGCAUGCACUACCAGCCAAACAAAUACCCACGUGAAGCAUCCAUUCCUUAAUCAUCGUUAGCCUUUUUCGUAUGAUUAAAUUCCGGCUAUUUCACAAAUGCCACAUGCUAACUCUGAUUUUAAUAAUUCUUUUUCCUAAAUUUAUCUAAAAUCAUGAUCUACCUCCCAUAUUAAUUUCAUGAUUUUUGGAGCUCAUUUGAAUUUAUAUGAUUAUUUAUCUGUGCCUGUUGUCUGUGUCGGUCGUCGCGUAUUUUAGCUGACGAAGUGAACGAGCCCGAAAACGAGAACGUUGGAGACGAGUACCGCGAGUUUGACGCCGAGGACCCAGACUGUCAGCAAGAGUUUGCUGAGGACGCCGACGGAGGCAAGUCCAACUGAUCCCCUUUGAUGCAUAUUGAUCCUAUUUUUAAAUACAACCCGUAGAAGCCGUUUUAAAUAUUGCAUGUACGAUAUAUAUACGAAGUAUUUUUGCUGCUUAGUUAAAACCUGUUGAAUAGCCAUCCUUGAAUUGAUAUUACCCGGUAAUUGUCUUGUUCGAACCUAGGAACCAAUAAUAUGCUAUGACAGAAAUAUUAUUAUUUAGUAUGCUUAGGACUUGUUACUCAUCCUGGAUACUCAUCGCUAUAUUUUCUCAAAUAUAAUGAUUUUAAAAGUAAAAGGUGUGAGUGGUGAAAAUAUAUUGUGGGUAUUAUGAAAGGGUUAAUGAACAAGUUAUAGAUGUGAUUACUAUGGAGAUGGGGCGGAUGGGAUCUCUUUGGGGAUGCCCUGGUGUUGUGGCUUAUACCUUGCGGGGUUAAGCGUGAAGAUAUCCGCCUUGUCUCGAUUAAGGACUGAGUUGAUGAUUCAUCUUGCCUAACUCAUUUAUCGUACAACCACUCGCCUUGCAUGGGAAAGGCUUAGUCUAAAUCCCUCUAGUUAGUAUGGCAAUCACCUGGAGGCAGGUGUGCAACGGGACACUAAGUGAUGUAUGUGAAAUUGUGAAAAUAUAUGAAAAGAGCUUUGUGAAUUAUUGUGGUAUCAUGAGAUGUGGCCUUAGUGUUCCCGUGGUGAGCGCCAUUACUUAGCUAUGGAGGGUAAUGACUUUGAUGGAUCUGUGAUUGCACGACGGUGUAAGUUAUGGUAUCCUACUUGUAGGAAAAGUGUACAACCUCUGCAGAGUGUAAAUCUAUCUAGAUAGCCGUGUCCGCGGUCUCGGACGGGUUAUGGUUUGGUUUCAACAACUAGAUUGGUUGGUAUGAGUGAAAGCAUGUGAGAGAGUGUGAUUUUGGAAAUAAAUGGUUGACUGCCAUUGUGUUGUGGGAACAAGGGUUCAACAACACUUAAAAUUGUGAUCAAACCCCCAUUUUCAGAAAUACUAUCAUAUGUGGAAGAAGAGUUCUUUUACAACAGUAUUUGUGAAUUAAAACCUUGCAUGUGUAAAAAGAUAGCUUUAUGCAAAUAAAACUAAGCCUCAUCCUUGAUUUAUCCAUAUGCAUAUAUAUUGUUACCCCUUCCGUAGGGUAAGGUUGGAUUUGCUGAGUACUUUGUACUCACCCUUGCUUUAUUAAACAGAGGAAGAUCCGGACUUCGAUCCCGAAGUGGCGUUCGAGUAAGGUCGUGUCUGCACCCAACUAAGCCUGUGGCAUUGGGACUCGUCAGAUGUUCGAUUGUGAUAUCGUUUGUUUCUGGGUCCUUUGGACCUAUGUUGUAUUUUGGUGUCUUAUUAUUAUAGCGUGUCUUCCUUGUCCACGCUUACCGAGACUUCUGCGCUGAAACUUAUCUGAUGUAAUAAAUGUGUUACUAGCCUCCUGGGACUAGUAUUAUAUCACAUUUGAGUUCCUGGUUUACCAGGGGCGCUUCAUCAUGGGAGUGGAAUAGAAUAAUUAGGUUGAUUAAGAGUGCAAGCACUAUUUGCUCCUUGUAAGAUUAUUGUGUUUCUCCUUUGUCUAUCCAAACACCUAGGUACGGAAUAUUCCUAGGUUUUUUUAUUUCUCUAUUUCCUGCUUUGCAUUCCAAAUAUUUUUCAUAUGUUUUCUUGUGUUUUAUCAUUCCUGUAUUCCAAAGGAGGUCUAAAUGUCAUUAAAAAUGUUACCCAUUCGGUUCCGAGCUCCUAACCCUUCCCUCCUCUUGUUCUCACGCCAUCUAGUUUUGCACCUCCCAAUCCAGAAACCACGUGGUUUCUAUGUUCAUUUAUUAAGAUGGCAAAUAAAAAAAAAGAUGAUGUGACACUAUAAUUAAAGAAGAGAAAGGAGAAAAUAUUUUUUCUAAUAAUAAACCAUAUCUAUGAGGCAGUCAAGAUAUGAAGAGAUGUGAUAGGUAGAUGAGUGAGAGAAAAGACAUGUAAUAAUUGGACAAAGAUGGUUCUGUAGAAAUGAUCUAUGUGUAGUGUCUACUCCCACUUAUCUCUAUUUAUGUGUCGUGAUGGCUAUAUUUCUAGGUGUCUAGAUUCAAAGCAUCCUGAUGUAUAUAGACAUCACAUAUAUCUAAAUUCAGAGAAUCUUUAGGUAUCUAAUAAAAAAUCAAAACGAUAGAUAUAGUGGUACGAAGGGAAUACACAAAUUAAAUAGACAUUAAAACUAUACAUGGUUUCUAGACUGAAAGAGUCUCUUCUUUCUCUUACAAUAGUGUCCUGGAAUUGUCGAUUGAUGAAUCAGGGCUUUAUGGCAACGGCUUUAAUAUAAACUGCUCCAAUUUAGCUCCAAUAGUGCCACGUUUCAUCUACACACUACCGGCAGUAAUGUGGCCUCAAUCAUGAAUGCUUCAUCUACAAACUACUGCUGGUGGGGCUAGAGUGCACAGCAGAUUCAGCCUAGUUUUUUAUACUCACGGGUCAACAGACCCAGGUCUAGGUUGACUAGAACCUAUUUGGUUCACGUUGGUAAAUUUUAUCGUUUAUCUUAUCGAAUAUUUGAACAUAUAUAUAAAGUAUUAAAUAUAAACUAUUUACAACUAAAAAUAUAGCUAGAGAAUAAUUUUCGAGAUGAAUUUUUUAAGUCUAAUUAAUCCAUAAUUGAAUACUAAUUGUCAAAUAAAACGAAAAUGUUACAGCACACCCCCUAAAGACCACAAGCAAAUCAAGCCCUUAAGACUAGCUACCUGAAUUGAGAGGUGAGGAUUGUUCCGCCAUCAUCAAUUUCCAAUGUACUACCUAACAUCUUGAUAUUUCCCUCCUAAAUUUCUUCCCAGUGCACUAAACAGAGUCUUCUUUCUUCCUUGGUAGUGGACUGGUGGAAGCGCGGGAGGAUGAAACGUCCAAGAUCGGAUCCACGCGUGCCACCAAAGUGUGGACUCUUUUUUUUAUUCUUUGCGACGACCAAACUGUGGACUCGUUCAACCCUGAUAAUUGAACAUCCGUCCUUUUAAGACCUACCAGCAGGCAGCGGCAUUUUCAUUAGCACAUUGAGCGCCCUCUCUCCUCGGCUGAGGUCUGAGGACUUGGGAGUUCCCCAAAAUCACAACUAGCUCUAGCUCGAAGCCAUGUUUUGUCGUCACCAAAACUACCUUAUCAUCCUUGCUAUUAUCUUGACUUCCAUAUGUCGUGUAGCGUGCCUGUGCCACCAAGAUCAAAGCGCCGCGCUGCUGCGCCUCAAAAGCGGCUUCCGCUUGAACUUGAAUCCAGCAUUCUCAAAUCUUUCGUCCUGGGAAGCAAGCACUGGCUGCUGUACAUGGGAACGAAUCAGAUGCGAAGAUGAGACGGGCCGAGUCACUGCUCUCGACCUCUCUAAUCUCUACAUGUCGGGUAAUAUCAGUUCUGAUAUCUUUAUUAAUCUUACCUCGCUUCAUUUCCUUAGCCUUGCCAACAACAACUUCCAUGGAAGUCCAUGGCCAAGCCCAGGACUUGACAACCUCAAAGACCUCAAGUACCUUAACCUCUCUUAUUCUGGGCUGUCCGGCUACUUACCUGUUAUGAACGGCCAAUUUGCCAAAUUGGUCACUUUAGACCUGUCUGGCCUUGAUUUACAAAGCUUGACCCUUGAUACUUUGAUUGACAGCCUUGGCAGUCUCCAAAAGCUAUACCUUGAUCGUGUCAACAUUUCGGUAGGUUCAACCAAUUUGGCUCAUGCUUCCUCUGCCAAUAAAACGUCAGGCCUCCAAGAGCUAAGCAUGCAACGGUGCAUAGUUACUGGUCGAGUUGAUACUGUGCUUGAAUUUCUUUCUGAGCUCUCAUCCUUGGUAGUUCUUCGGCUUCAACUUAGUACACUGACUGGAACCUUCCCCUCAAAGAUACUUCGUAUCAAAAGUUUGACAGUUCUAGAUCUAUCAUGGAAUGAGAAUCUAUAUGGAGAGCUGCCAGAGUUCAUACAGGGCAGCGCUUUGCAGUUUUUAAAUCUCGCUUACACCAAAUUUUCUGGAAAAAUUCCAGAAUCUAUCGGGAACCUCGCAAAUCUAACUGUAUUGGACUUGUCUUAUUGUCAAUUCCAUGGGCCCAUCCCGUCCUUCGCUCAAUGGUUAAAGAUUGAGGAGAUCAAUUUGUCAAGUAACAAAUUAACAGGUCAAUUACACCCAGACAACCUUGCUUUACGCAACCUGACCACACUUUAUCUUAUGAAUAAUUCUAUAUCCGGUGAGAUACCUGCAUCUUUGUUUUCUCAGCCUUCUUUGAAGUAUUUAGAUCUCUCACAAAAUAAUUUCACCGGAAAGUUUCGGCUGUAUCCUCAUAUAUCUUCUAGUUUGACACAGAUUAUUAUUAGCAACAAUAUACUGCAAGGACCAAUCCCAAACUCAUUGUCGAAGCUUCUAGGACUAGAAACAUUGGACAUUUCAUCAAACAAUCUCACUGGUACUGUAGAUCUAAGUUUCAUUAAGAAUUAUGAGAAGAUUGGAUAUCUGUCACUAUCCAAUAACAGGUUGUCUAUUGUGGAGAAAGAUGACAGUCACUCAUUCGCAGAAUAUCCAACAAGUAUUUGGUCUUUGGAGUUGGCAUCAUGUAAUCUGUCAUAUGUACCUAAAUUCCUGAUGCACCAGAGAAAUGUUUACUAUUUAGACCUUUCAAACAACAAUAUUGGUGGACACAUACCGGAUUGGAUAUGGGGAAUUGGACCAUCUUAUGGCUUGAGCAUUGAUCUCUCUCAUAACUUAAUUACCAGCAUUGAUACAAAUUUAUCGAAUAGAUCAAUCCGUAAUCUGGAUCUCCAUUCCAACAAGAUUGGGGGAGAUCUCCCACUACCCCCACCAGGAAUUGACCAAUUGGACUACUCCAACAACCAUUUUAAUUCUUCUAUCAUGCCCAAGUUUUGGUCAAGUGUUAAGUCUGCUGAAUUCCUGUCAUUAGCAAACAAUAGCCUUACUGGAGAACUAUCACAUUUGAUCUGUAAUGUAACAUACAUCCAAGUUCUAGACCUUUCUUUUAACAGCUUCAGUGGGUUAAUACCACCUUGUUUGCUGAAACAUAACAAGUAUCUUGAGAUACUGAACUUGAGAGGUAACAAUUUCCAUGGAUCCUUGCCUCAGGAUAUCAACAAGGGAUGUGCACUUCAAAAAUUAGAUAUCAACAGCAACAAAUUGGAGGGGAAAUUGCCAGUGUCUAUGAUCAACUGCCACAUGCUACAAGUUCUGGACCUUGGAGACAACAGGAUAGUCGAUGAGUUUCCAGAGUGGCUGGGAGUACUUCCUUUGUUGAAAGUGCUUGUUCUGAGCUCAAACCGGUUUCAUGGUCCCAUUGAUCACUAUGGGAUGAACAAACAGACAGGUCCCUCUUUCCCAGAGUUGCAGGUUCUGGAUCUUUCUUCAAAUUCUCUUAAUGGCAGAAUACCAACACGAUUCCUUAAGCAGUUCAAAGCUAUGAUGGUUUCUUCAGGAGCUCCCAGCAUGUACGUUGGAAUUAUUGAAACUUCAGCAUCACCUCCAAUUACAAGUCCCAUGCCAUACUAUUACUACGAUAACUCAGUCACAGUCACACUCAAGGGGCAAGAAACAACUCUGGUACAGAUACUUUCAGUCUUCAUGUCCCUCGAUCUCUCCAACAACAACUUCCAGGGUAUCAUCCCCAACGAGAUCGGCGACCUGAAGUUUCUCAAGGGGCUCAACCUCUCCAGGAACUCCUUCACCGGCGGGAUCCCUCCCCAGAUCGCUAACAUGCGGCAGCUGGAGUCACUUGAUCUCUCCAGCAACCAGCUCUCCGGGGAGAUCCCUCCAGCAAUGGCACUGAUGUCAUUCCUCGAGGUGCUCAACCUUUCCUACAAUCAUCUGUCCGGGAUGAUACCACAGUCCAGCCAGUUCUUGACGUUCCCAGAGACGUCAUUUCUGGGAAACGACGGGCUGUGCGGGAAGCCGCUGCCACGCCUGUGUGACACGAACCACACACCAUCUGCUGCUGCUACACCGGGCUCUUCUAACAAGCUGAACUGGGAAUUUUUGUCGAUUGAGGCAGGGGUUGUUUCUGGCUUGGUCAUCGUGUUUGCGACCACGCUGCUGUGGGGCAACGGGAGGAGGUGGCUAUACUGGCAGGUGGACAAAUUUCUGCUAGAUGUUCUGCAGCCAUGGAUCCGCAGCCGUCGCCACUGAAAUGAAUUUUUAGUGUUUGCAUACUUCAAUGAUAUGUGCAAGAAAAUGAGCAGGCAUCACGCCAUGUUCCUGUUCAACAGCAUUAUUAUGUAUAUUUCAAGCUUGGGAAAUAAAUUUACAUGGUGCUUUCGCAUAGUUAGAUGCUAUAUUUUUGCAAGAGAAAAACUUAGUUGAGGAUCUCAUCUGGAAUUUCAUACCUACUACUAUACUGUGUACAGCUUAUUCGAUAUGAUUAAGAUAUGAAACUCUGCUUUGCCAGGAAAAAGAAUGACGACAGAAAAAAAAAGUACUGAAAAGUUAACAAAACUUUUACUUUUCUUAUAUAUAUACUAAAGAACAUGGUUAAUACCAGUUAAAUGUAAGGUUAACCAAAGCUACAUGGACAAGUCUAUGACAAUUGACAAAGUAUGAACUAACAGCGAUAAUACCUCUGCAUGUCUAAAUUGUAUCGGAACAUAUGCAUUCAGUCUCCUGUUUCCAGGUUAGUAACCAGUGUGUCAUGUAACAACCACAAUAAAACACGAGCAAUUAGUGAUUGCUAAGCACAUAGAUAUUGUACAAAGACAAGAAUUAUGAUUCAUCCUAUGUUUAUAAUAUUAUAGUAAUCAAGGUCAAAUCCAGGAGCAAGUAACUACCAGCAGCGACACACCGCGUCGUUCCAGAAGAGCCAGUGGUGGUGGCGCCGUGGCGGUCUGGCGGAGGCGGGUGCGGAACGAAAGGACCUUGCUUCGGCUGGGCGGCCGGCUGGGGUUGACGGCGGACGCGCGGAGCGUGACGAGGCCAUAACUGUGCGCCGCCGCUUAGGCGCGCUUGUUCCGCGCGGAUGCUGCCAGCACGCCGCGGAAGGACCCACCGCCCACCCAGCCCGCCGGCGUCCUCGUCGGCGAAGGUGACUAUCACGUGGCUGAGGCGGGGAUCCGAGACGAAGGGAAGAGGAGGAGGCGGAGAAUCACGAUACAGGAGAUCCGGGUGAAUGAGCUCGAACCUCGAAUGAAAC